Molecule: ribosomal RNA, 253 nt
Filed under: uncultured bacterium
Lineage: Bacteria
Description: partial 16S ribosomal RNA
Rfam family: Bacterial small subunit ribosomal RNA
Source: RNAcentral
UACGUAGGGUGCAAGCGUUAAUCGGAAUUACUGGGCGUAAAGCGUGCGCAGGCGGUUUUGUAAGUCCGUCGUGAAAUCCCCGGGCUCAACCUGGGAAUUGCGAUGGAGACUGCAAGGCUAGAAUCUGGCAGAGGGGGGUAGAAUUCCACGUGUAGCAGUGAAAUGCGUAGAGAUGUGGAGGAACACCGAUGGCGAAGGCAGCCCCCUGGGUCAAGAUUGACGCUCAUGCACGAAAGCGUGGGGAGCAAACAGG